RNAcentral lists this ribosomal RNA (816 nucleotides) under uncultured bacterium. Its description in RNAcentral is "bacterial SSU rRNA". It matches the Rfam family "Bacterial small subunit ribosomal RNA", at positions 8 to 796 of the family's 1533-position model. The record is from RNAcentral.
AGAGUUUGAUCCUGGCUCAGAAUGAACGCUGGCGGCGUGCUUAACACAUGCAAGUCGAACGAGAACGGGACUGCUUGCAGUCCUUAGUAGAGUGGCGCACGGGUGAGUAACGCGUGGAUAAUCUACCUUCGGAAUAGGGAUAACAUGGCGAAAGCCGUGCUAAUACCUAAUGAAAUUGUAUAGACUUAGGRRUAUGCAAUGAAAGGUUGCAGUAGUGAUAUUGCAAUUGUUUGAAGAUGAGUCCGCGUACCAUUAGCUAGUUGGUAGGGUAAGGGCCUACCAAGGCGACGAUGGUUAGCUGGUCUGAGAGGAUGAUCAGCCACACUGGAACUGGGACACGGUCCAGACUCCUACGGGAGGCAGCAGUGAGGAAUUUUGCGCAAUGGGGGCAACCCUGACGCAGCAACGCCGCGUGAGUGAUGAAGGCCUUUGGGUCGUAAAGCUCUGUCGAUGGGGAAGAAGUUAUAUUACAUGAAUAGUGUAGUAUAUUGACGGUACCCGAGAAGGAAGCACCGGCUAACUCCGUGCCAGCAGCCGCGGUAAUACGGGGGGUGCAAGCGUUAUUCGGAUUUAUUGGGCGUAAAGGGCGCGUAGGCGGUAUAUUAGGUCAGAUGUGAAAGCCCGGGGCUUAACCCCGGAAGUGCAUUUGAAACCGGUAUACUUGAGUAUGGGAGAGGGAAGUGGAAUUCCUGGUGUAGAGGUGAAAUUCGUAGAUAUCAGGAGGAACACCGGUGGCGAAGGCGACUUCCUGGCCCAAUACUGACGCUGAGGCGCGAAGGCGUGGGGAGCAAACAGGAUUAGAUACCCUGGUAGUCC